This 492-nucleotide ribosomal RNA is filed under the name uncultured bacterium. RNAcentral describes it as "partial 16S ribosomal RNA". It matches the Rfam family "Bacterial small subunit ribosomal RNA", at positions 29 to 507 of the family's 1533-position model. The record is from RNAcentral.
AUUGAACGCUGGCGGCAUGCUUUACACAUGCAAGUCGAACGGUAACAGGCCUUCGGGUGCUGACGAGCGGCGAACGGGUGAGUAAUGCAUCGGAACGUACCCAGAGGUGGGGGAUAACGCAGCGAAAGCUGUGCUAAUACCGCAUGUGAUCUGAGGAUGAAAGCGGGGGACCGAGCAGCAAUGUUUGGCCUCGCGCCUUUGGAGCGGCCGAUGUCGGAUUAGCUAGUUGGUGGGGUAAAGGCCUACCAAGGCGACGAUCCGUAGCUGGUCUGAGAGGACGACCAGCCACACUGGGACUGAGACACGGCCCAGACUCCUACGGGAGGCAGCAGUGGGGAAUUUUGGACAAUGGGCGCAAGCCUGAUCCAGCAAUGCCGCGUGCGGGAAGAAGGCCUUCGGGUUGUAAACCGCUUUUGGCAGGAACGAAACGGUGUCCGCUAAUACCGGGCGCUAAUGACGGUACCUGCAGAAUAAGCACCGGCUAACUACGUG